GCAGGAGAUGGUGGCGACACCACAGGAGUUAUUGGAGAUGGUGUAUAUCCCGGUGGAGAAGAGUGCGUUGGUGGUGGAGAGGAAGGUGUCAUUCCCGGUGGUGAUGGAGAGUUGGGUGUUCCCGGCGGAGAAGAGUGUGUUGGUGGUGGAAUGGAAGGUGUCGUUCCCGGUGGUGAUGGAGAGAUAGGUGUCGUUCCCGGAGGUGAAGGAGUGCUAGGUGGCAAUGCCGGUGGUUCUGGAGAUGUAGGUGUUGUUCCCGGCGGUGUUGGAGAGAUAGGUGUCGUCCCUGGCGGUGACGGAGUGCUAGGUGACACUGCUGGCGGCGAUGGAGUAAUAGGCGUCGUCCCCGGCGGUGAUGGAGAGGUUGGUGAACCUCCCGGCGAUGGAGGAGAGGAAGGUGAAACUCCCGGCGGCGAUGGCAAAGGCAAAGAAGGAUUAAAAGCUUUACACCCAAACGACUUACAAUCCACCGGCUUGGACAAAAAUGACGCACAUUCCACCAGAGUCUUCUGGAACGGCCUCGCCGGCAAACAAUUUCUCCUAUCAUCAGACGCCGGCAAGCCAAAGCACGCCGGAGGCUCACCAGUAAAGAAAUUAUCCGAAAACGUAAAGUUCUUAAGAUUAGGCAACAUACAAAUACUUGACGGAAUUUUACCAGAGAACAUAUUAUGCGCCACAUUAAGCUCCUCCAAACUCACCGCACCGCCAAUAGCAGCCGGUAAAGGACCCACCAACUGAUUAAAACCCACAUCGAAAACCGUGAGAUUCUUCAACAACCCAAUCUCGGAAGGUAAACAUGACUUAAACAAAUUGUUCAAGAAAUUGAUUUCGUUUAAGUUGGACAUGUUUCCUAUACUGGAAGGUAUGCAUCCUUUGAAUUUGUUGUUUGCAAAAACGACAACUGAAACAGGUGAAUUACCAAGAUUUUCUGGAAGAUCAAAAGCAAAACGGUUGUCGUUUAUGAAAAUAGCAUCUAAGUCUUUGUCAAACAACUCUUUUGGGACCGUUCCUUCAAAUUCAUUGAACCUGAUGUCCAAGAAUUUAAGAACUGGUAAGCUUAAAACAACUUUUGGAAACUUCCCUGCGAAUCUGUUGUUACUGAGAUCUAAUUCGAAGAGAAGUUUCAAUUUUUGAAAAGUGUGUGGUACAGUGCCACAGAAUCUGUUGGAGUUAAUGUGGAAAAGUGCGAGAUCUGUUAGAAGACCGAGUUCAUCCGGUAAAUAACCGGCAAUGUCGGCAUGGUUGAGAUCAAUACCGGCGACGGUGCGUAUGUUUGGGUUGUCUAGUGCUUGAGCACAGUAAAUGCCGGUGUAGCUGCAUACAUUGGAUCCAACCCAGUUGGUUGUGAAGUUCAGUGGAUCAGAGAGAAUGGCUUGUUUCAAAGCUUGUAAUGCUAUGUAAGCAUUUUGGAUGCGGUUGUUUUCAAAGACAAGAGAUGGGUUGUCUAUGGUUUGGGCUGAGAGGGAGAGUGUGUUUAUGGUUAGAAGCAGUGUAACUAUGAGGAGUGUUUGUGAUUUCUUCAUCAUCGUGUUAAUAAACCAAAUGGGGUAAUUAAUUUCUUCAACUUUGCAUUUCUUUUAUGGAAUGUAUGUUACCUUUGAAAUGCAAGGAAGAUGAAGUUUGUUGGUGGCUGAGGAUUUAUAUUUGUAUGGAUUUUGGAGGUGUGAGUGAGGUUUAGUAUAUGUUUUUUACAAAACCCAACUUCAUGAGAAAUUUAAGGACCUUCUUCCAAUUUAUUCCAAUUCCAACUAUUGAGUAUACGCGUUGCCUGCCA
Molecule: long non-coding RNA, 1774 nt
Filed under: Medicago truncatula (barrel medic)
Lineage: Eukaryota; Viridiplantae; Streptophyta; Magnoliopsida; Fabales; Fabaceae
Description: lncRNA gene50313
Source: RNAcentral